This 250-nucleotide ribosomal RNA is filed under the name uncultured bacterium. RNAcentral's name for it is "partial 16S ribosomal RNA". It matches the Rfam family "Bacterial small subunit ribosomal RNA", at positions 524 to 776 of the family's 1533-position model. The record is from RNAcentral.
UACGUAGGGGGCAAGCGUUGUCCGGAUUUAUUGGGCGUAAAGAGCGUGUAGGCGGCUUGGUAGGUCCGCUGUGAAAACUCGAGGCUCAACCUCGAGAUGUCGGCGGAAACCACUUGGCUAGAGUCCGGAAGAGGAGAGUGGAAUUCCUGGUGUAGCGGUGAAAUGCGCAGAUAUCAGGAAGACCAGUGGCGAAGGCGGGUCUCUGGACAGUUCCUGACACUGAGACACGAAGGCCAGGGGAGCAAACGGG